AUUGAACGCUGGCGGCAGGCCUAACACAUGCAAGUCGAGCGGAUGAAGGGAGCUUGCUCCUGGAUUCAGCGGCGGACGGGUGAGUAAUGCCUAGGAAUCUGCCUGGUAGUGGGGGAUAACGUCCGGAAACGGGCGCUAAUACCGCAUACGUCCUGAGGGAGAAAGUGUGGGAUCUUCGGACCUCACGCUAUCAGAUGAGCCUAGGUCGGAUUAGCUAGUUGGUGGGGUAAAGGCCUACCAAGGCGACGAUCCGUAACUGGUCUGAGAGGAUGAUCAGUCACACUGGAACUGAGACACGGUCCAGACUCCUACGGGGGGCAGCAGUGGGGAAUAUUAGACAAUGGGCGAAAGCCUGAUCCAGCCAUGCCGCGUGUGUGAAGAAGGUCUUCGGAUUGUAAAGCACUUUAAGUUGGGAGGAAGAGCAGUAAGUUAAUACCUUGCUGUUUUGACGUUACCAACAGAAUAAGCACCGGCUAACUUCGUG
Molecule: ribosomal RNA, 484 nt
Filed under: uncultured bacterium
Lineage: Bacteria
Description: partial 16S ribosomal RNA
Rfam family: Bacterial small subunit ribosomal RNA
Source: RNAcentral